This 417-nucleotide ribosomal RNA is filed under the name uncultured bacterium. Its description in RNAcentral is "bacterial SSU rRNA". It matches the Rfam family "Bacterial small subunit ribosomal RNA", at positions 355 to 787 of the family's 1533-position model. The record is from RNAcentral.
UCGGGAAUAUUGCGCAAUGGAGGAAACUCUGACGCAGUGACGCCGCGUAUAGGAAGAAGGUUUUCGGAUUGUAAACUAUUGUCGUUAGGGAAGAAAAAAGACAGUACCUAAGGAGGAAGCUCCGGCUAACUACGUGCCAGCAGCCGCGGUAAUACGUAGGGAGCAAGCGUUAUCCGGAUUUAUUGGGUGUAAAGGGUGCGUAGACGGGCGAUCAAGUUAGUUGUGAAAUCCCUCGGCUCAACUGAGGAACUGCAACUAAAACUGGUUAGUCUUGAGUGCAGGAGAGGUAAGUGGAAUUCCUAGUGUAGCGGUGAAAUGCGUAGAUAUUAGGAGGAACACCAGUGGCGAAGGCGACUUACUGGACUGUAACUGACGUUGAGGCACGAAAGUGUGGGGAGCAAACAGGAUUAGAUACCC